Molecule: ribosomal RNA, 470 nt
Filed under: Globigerina bulloides
Lineage: Eukaryota; Foraminifera; Rotaliida; Globigerinidae
Description: bacterial SSU rRNA
Rfam family: Eukaryotic small subunit ribosomal RNA
Source: RNAcentral
CAAGAGCGUGGAGUAUGUGGCUUAAUUUGACUCAACGCGGAAAAGCUUAUCUGGUCCGGACGCAGUGAGGAUUGACAGACAGUUUCAGGAGUGGUUCUUGGUAAACAAUUGAGAGAGUUGAAGUUCUUUCAUGAUCUUGUGAGAGGUGGUGCAUGGCCGUUCUUAGUUCGUGUAGUGAUAUGUCUGCCUAAUCGCGUCACGAUAACCUAUUGGUCGACAACCCAAUUAUCACAACUGCAGCAUAACUCCCCUUGGGUGGGCGAGGCUCUGUGUAGGAUAAACCUCUGAACAGUACGCAACGAACGCGAUCGUAAUCCCUUGUUGAGUGGCCAUCCUGUAAGCUGCUGGAUUAGGAACCCAGUGGUAUUAUCUCAGCCACAGAUUUUCUGGUUGUAAUGGGCCAGUUUUGAAACUCGGGGAACAUCUGUGACUUUCUUUCUUAACGCAGAGGAAGGUUAUGGCAAUAACAG